GGAAAAUGUGUCCUUGAAGCAACCAAUGGCCAUGGGGUGGAUGUCGUUUUAAAUUCACUUACCGGUCCUGGAUUCAUUGAAACCAGCCUUUCGUGUACAGCAACAGGCGGAACAUUCAUUGAGAUGAGCAAAUUGCAUAUUUUAGAAGACAACGAAGUCAAGAAGCUAAGGCCAGAUGUAGCUUACAAAGUUGAGGAUUUGAGCAGCCAUCCAGACCAGUAUAUGAAGAUAUUGUUCAAGGAACUGGAUUCAAGAUUACGCGAUAAAACAUUUGUCCCGCCACCUCAGAGGGUAUUUGAUGUGGUCGACAUUCGAUCGGCGAUACGAUAUCUGCAAGAGGCUAAGCAUAUAGGGAAAGUUGUCCUCAAGUAUCCAGAACCAAAUGCGCAACUUCAUAAUUCACACAUCUCUCUUACUUUUAAACUUCUCAGUGCUUCAGCUACCUACGUCAUCACUGGUGGGUGCGGUGGGAUUGGAUUUGAGGUUGGCAAGUGGAUGCUUAAAAAUGGGGCCGGCCAUGUGGUUCUGGUUGGACGAAGGAGUCCCGAGUGCCGAGUUAUGCGUGAAAUAGAGCAAAUUCGAAGUUCCUCGGAAACCGAAGGGGUGCUAUCAAUUUCCCAAGGCGAUAUUGGAGACAUGUCGUAUUGCGAGAAGCUUUUCAGCUGGAUUGAGACUAAAUGGCCAACAAUGCCUGUGAGAGGAGUUAUUCAUGCUGCAGGGGUUCUGGCCGAUGGAGUUAUUCCUAAUCAGACACCGGAAAGUUUUUUGACCACACAACAUCCGAAAGUUAGAGGUGGAUGGAAUCUGCACCAGUUAACCAAGGAUAUUAAUUUGGAACACUUUGUCGUCUUUUCGUCUGUAGUUGCAUUAUUAGGUUCUCCAGGGCAGAGUAACCAUGCGUUGGCAAACGCUUUCCUAGAUGGCUUGGUUAACUAUAGACAAUCUCUGGGGCUACCUGCUACAACUAUCAAUUGGGGUCAAUGGGGUGAGACUGGAGUAGCGGCAGGAAAGGUGGUAAAUAUGGUGAAGCCAUUUUCCACGAAGGCAGGGCUUAAAGCUUUAGAGUAUAGUCUAAAGUCAGGGGUUAGCCAUGUAUCUCCUGUGGAUAUAGAUAUUGAUGCGCUGGGAAAUAGCAUGCUUGCACCAUGGUUGACAACAUAUCUGGAGAAUAUUAUGAAUUCAGGCAGGAAUACCAGACGGAAUUCGAAUGUAUCGAAAUGGGAAUCAGACUCAGGUGCGGAAAUUCGAUUCCUUAUGGUAUAAACUGAAAGUAUGUGGCGACUCCAAUGAGGGUCGUUAUGGAGUAGCGAAGCCUUAUGUUGCUCGAAUAAUUGAAGGACUGCUCAAGUUGGACGACGAGCUUCUUCCAAAUGAGUCGUUACAAGAUCUGGGUUUGGAUUCAUUAAUGAUGAUUGAGAUGAAAAACGCGUUAUAAGGAUUGAUUGGGAAUAAGGGAAUAAUUCGAGUAGCAGACCUGGGAGAUUGUCAAACCUUGCAUUUAACAACCCUGACGUUGAUGAACAUAAUGUUUCCCAAAACAUCAGACCUUGGAAGUGCUAAUUUUAUUGAACGUAACAAAUUGAUUAAGAAUGAUUCAAUCCUUUGGGAAGCUACAAAUGGAUACAAUGCAAUCCAAGAGGUCCCAAUGUCUGCUGUCAAAAUUGUGUUAUUGACAGGAUGCACCGGUGUUGUUGGGCCUCACGUCUUGCAACAACUAAGUAGACUACCACAAAUAGAAUCGAUCUACUGUCUAGUCCGUCCACGCAAACGUGAAUCGGGAAAAGAUCGAGUAAUCCAUCGCUUAAAGGAACUGAACCUCUUAUCGACUUCCAACAUCGAAAAGAUCAUCCCACUUGACGGUGAUAUCGUGUCGGAAAAUCUGUCAUUGCAAAUAGAACUCUAUAAUCGACUUGCCAAUUGUGUCGACGCCGUAGUUCAUUGUGCUGGUCAAACCUCACACAUGGAAAUGUACGCACACUUUUCGUCCCAAAAUAUCGGCGUGCGAGCAAUAAAUGUUACCGGAACCCAAAAUAUUUUGAAAUUUGCUUGCACUACAAAGAGGAAGCACUUAUACAACGCGUCAACUUUACUCGCUAUACGGCUUCCCGCAAAUUAUGAAAACAAUUAUUUUGGCUACCCUGAAACAUUUCCUCAAGAUGGUGACUAAGGUCCAUCGUAUGGGUAUAUAAUCUCCAAAUUUAUUAGUGACCGUCUAGUUGGCCAGGCCGUUGAAAAAGGGUUGCCUGCAAAAUCGUUCCGACUUCCCAUGCUCUUUGGAGAGAGCAAGACUGGAAAGAAGACAAGCUUGGAGAAUGAUCAUUUAUUUUUGGAGAGUAUCUACUUCCUAAUGAACAGUAUCAUGCCAGAUAUAUGCUUUCCUCUCCAUGUAGCACCGGUAGACAUCGCUGUCGAAAUUACGCUCAAGUUAUUCUUUGACGAAAACGUUCCUAGUGGAAUGUUCAACAUCACAAAUCCUCAUGCAAGGAAUUACACGGACAUUGAAAAAAUUUCUGACGAAUUUGCUCCCAAACUUAGACUAGCGGAGGCAAUCUAUUCGUACUUGUACAACACGAAACCUACCUUGGAUAAGGACGAUGUCUUCACGAUACUGUCUGAUUUUGCCAGGAGGGAAGGUGGCGAUCCAUCAAAAAUUUCAUCUGUUGUCGAAAAUAUGACGUUUAACGACGACAUCACGUGCCAGCAAAUUUUAAAUAAACCCGGUAUCCAGACCUUGUUACGGGAAAGGUUUGUCACCCCAAUGAGGAAAGUUCCAUAUGAUGAUUUUGUGACAGACCUUCACAGCAAGGGUAAUGAAUCAUUGCUGUUUAAAUGGCUGGAUUAUUACUCCCGAGACGACGCGCUACCUCGAAACAUAGCAAAUGGAAAGCUUCAGCCCCAGCCAAAUUGGGUAGAGAAUAUGGCGAAAUUUCAGCUUGAAAGCUGCGCCAAGAUGAGAAAGUAUAUACCUAACGUGGAGGAAAUGAUUCCAGACCCUUUGGAAACAUUGAGGGCUGACUUGCAAUAUACGAUCGAUAAUAUCGAUUCGAGCUUGGGAAAUUUAUUGCGUGGGAAGGGGGAGAAGUAAGGACGAAAAAUUUGAAUAUGUAAAAUUUAAGAUAUGUACUAUCUACGUUUUCAUGUCUAAAAUCAUUUAGUAUAAUUUAGUACAAUUCCCGUCUUCAUAGCAAAUGCAUUAAUGACAAAUCUCUAAUUAAUUUCCAGGACUAUUUAAGAAUGUGUAUUAUAGCAUUAUAUAUUGCAUACCUACAUACAUACAUACGUACGUAUGCAGUUUAUGUAAAUACUUACAUGCAUAAAUUGUCGGGGGAAGCAAUUUCAACAAGACGGUACACAAAAAUAGAGUGGUUUCAAGAAAAUAUGUACAUAUGUAUGAAUAUCAUAAUAAAUACAUCAUA
RNA transcript from Folsomia candida, 3416 nucleotides. It is a transcript of the gene named putative inactive phenolphthiocerol synthesis polyketide synthase type I Pks1, with no coding region annotated. The record is from RefSeq and is a predicted model, not a curated record. Lineage: Eukaryota; Metazoa; Arthropoda; Collembola; Entomobryomorpha; Isotomidae. The transcript has 7 exons.